RNAcentral lists this ribosomal RNA (144 nucleotides) under Entamoeba histolytica. RNAcentral's name for it is "partial ribosomal RNA small subunit". It matches the Rfam family "Eukaryotic small subunit ribosomal RNA", at positions 1671 to 1831 of the family's 1831-position model. Lineage: Eukaryota; Evosea; Mastigamoebida; Endamoebidae. The record is from RNAcentral.
GCCCGUCGCUCCUACCGAUUGAAUAAAGAGGUGAAAUUCUAGGAUUCUGUCUUAUAGAUAGAAAAAUGGAUUUAAAUCUCCUUAUUUAGAGGAAGGAGAAGUCGUAACAAGGUUUCCGUAGGUGAACCUGCGGAAGGAUCAUUA